RNAcentral lists this ribosomal RNA (156 nucleotides) under Waitea circinata. RNAcentral describes it as "5.8S ribosomal RNA". It matches the Rfam family "5.8S ribosomal RNA". From Rfam's summary of the family: 5.8S ribosomal RNA (5.8S rRNA) is a component of the large subunit of the eukaryotic ribosome. It is transcribed by RNA polymerase I as part of the 45S precursor that also contains 18S and 28S rRNA. Lineage: Eukaryota; Fungi; Basidiomycota; Agaricomycetes; Corticiales; Corticiaceae. The record is from RNAcentral.
ACAACUUUCAACAACGGAUCUCUUGGCUCUCGCAUCGAUGAAGAACGUAGCGAAUUACGAUAUGUAAUGUGAAUUGCAGAAUUCAGUGAAUCAUCGAAUCUUUGAACGCACCUUGCGCUCUUUGGUAUUCCGAAGAGCAUGCCUGUUUGAGUGUCA